RNAcentral lists this transfer RNA (129 nucleotides) under Exophiala mesophila. RNAcentral's name for it is "tRNA-Ile (AAT) (tRNA-Ile-AAT-1-1)". Lineage: Eukaryota; Fungi; Ascomycota; Eurotiomycetes; Chaetothyriales; Herpotrichiellaceae. The record is from RNAcentral.
GGUCGCUUAGCUCAGGUUGGUAACCCAUCAACCCCAAGACAUCGACAAAUAACUAACUUAACACCUCACAGUUGGUUAGACGUGGUGCUAAUAACGCCAAGGUCGCGAGUUCGACCCUCGUAGUGACCA